Molecule: ribosomal RNA, 468 nt
Filed under: uncultured bacterium
Lineage: Bacteria
Description: partial 16S ribosomal RNA
Rfam family: Bacterial small subunit ribosomal RNA
Source: RNAcentral
GACGAACGCUGGCGGCGUGCUUAACACAUGCAAGUCGAACGGAAAGGCCCUGCUUUUGUGGGGUGCUCGAGUGGCGAACGGGGGAGUAACACGUGAGUAACCUGCCCUUGACUGUGGGAUAACUUCAGGAAACUGGGGCUAAUACCGGAUAGGAGCUCCUGCUGCAUGGUGGGGGUUGGAAAGUUUCGGCGGUUGGGGAUGGACUCGCGGCUUAUCAGCUUGUUGGUGGGGUAGUGGCUUACCAAGGCUUUGACGGGUAGCCGGCCUGGGAGGGUGACCGGCGACAUUGGGACUGAGAUACGGCGCAGACUCGUACGGGAGGCAGCGGUGGGGAGUAUUACACAAUGGGCGGAAGCCUGAUGCGGAAACGCCGCGUGCGGGAUGACGGCCUUCGGGUUGUAAACCGCUUUCGCCUGUGACGAAGCGUGAGUGACGGUAAUGGGUAAAGAAGCACCGGCUAACUACGUG